RNAcentral lists this ribosomal RNA (253 nucleotides) under uncultured bacterium. RNAcentral describes it as "partial 16S ribosomal RNA". It matches the Rfam family "Bacterial small subunit ribosomal RNA", at positions 524 to 776 of the family's 1533-position model. The record is from RNAcentral.
UACGUAGGGUGCAGGCGUUAAUCGGAAUUACUGGGCGUAAAGCGUGCGCAGGCGGUUUGCUAAGACAGGUGUGAAAUCCCCGGGCUUAACCUGGGAACUGCGCUUGUUACUGGCAGGCUUGAGUGUGGCAGAGGGGGGUGGAAUUCCACGUGUAGCAGUGAAAUGCGUAGAGAUGUGGAGGAAUACCGAUGGCGAAGGCAGCCCCCUGGGCCAAUACUGACGCUCAUGCACGAAAGCGUGGGGAGCAAACAGG